AGUUAACGAAGCAAAGCCCGGCACUGCAAAAGAUCUAAGCCCUUUUUACAGAGGUUUAAAUCCUCUCGUUAACU
This 74-nucleotide transfer RNA is filed under the name Scinax crospedospilus (Campo Belo snouted treefrog). RNAcentral describes it as "tRNA-Leu". It matches the Rfam family "tRNA". From Rfam's summary of the family: Transfer RNA (tRNA) molecules are approximately 80 nucleotides in length. Their secondary structure includes four short double-helical elements and three loops (D, anti-codon, and T loops). Lineage: Eukaryota; Metazoa; Chordata; Amphibia; Anura; Hylidae. The record is from RNAcentral.